GACGAACGCUGGCGGCGUGCUUAACACAUGCAAGUCGAACGGAAAGACCCUGCUUUUGUGGGGUGCUCGACUGGCGAACGGGUGAGUAACACGUGAGUAACCUGCCCUUGACUUUGGGAUAACUUCAGGAAACUGGGGCUCAUACCGGAUAGGAGCUCCUGCUGCAUGGUGGGGGUUGGAAAGUUUCGGCGGUUGGGGAUGGACUCGCGGCUUAUCAGCUUGUUGGUGGGGUAGUGGCUUACCAAGGCUUUGACGGGUAGCCGGCCUGAGAGGGUGACCGGCCACAUUGGGACUGAGAUACGGCCCAGACGGCUACGGGAGGCAGCAGUGGGGAAUAUUGCACAAUGGGCGGAAGCCUGAGGCAGCAACGCCGCGUGCGGGAUGACGGCCUUCGGGUUGUAAACCGCUUUCGCCUGUGACGAAGCGUGAGUGACGGUAAUGGGUAAAGAAGCACCGGCUAACUACGUG
This 468-nucleotide ribosomal RNA is filed under the name uncultured bacterium. RNAcentral describes it as "partial 16S ribosomal RNA". It matches the Rfam family "Bacterial small subunit ribosomal RNA", at positions 28 to 507 of the family's 1533-position model. The record is from RNAcentral.